This 1735-nucleotide small RNA is filed under the name Pongo abelii (Sumatran orangutan). Its description in RNAcentral is "processed transcript". The record is from RNAcentral. Lineage: Eukaryota; Metazoa; Chordata; Mammalia; Primates; Hominidae.
GUCAGAGCAUCCACUCGAAAGCAGAGAAUUUCUGAAAAACAAAAUAAUGUCAUCAUAUGAUGUUAGAAUUUUUUUUCAAAUGAUGGUUCCUAAUACUUCACAUUAGAAGAACUCAAAUUUGAUGACCAGUUUGAGAAACACCAGUAUAACCAGAUUACAAGAAAGAGCAAGUCAAAAGGAUGAUCAUGAAUAUAACAACUUCGAGGAAACAUUUAAUCAAAAACCAAAGCUUUUUAAACAACUGAGAGUUUUUAUAAGAAAAAGACCUCAUACAGUAGUCCCCACUUAUUCAUGGGGGAUACAUUUCAAGAUCCCCAGAGAAUGCCUGAAAUCACUGAUGUACCAAACCCUAACCAGGUUCUUAGUAUGAGCUACUAAAUGACAAAUGGGUAGGUAGUACAUACAGUAUAGAUAUACUGGACAAAGAAAUGAUUCACAGCCCAGGCAGGACAGAGCAGAUCACACAAGAUUUCAUCACAGUACUCAGAAAACCACACCAUUUAAAAGUUAUGAAUUGUUUAUUUCUGGAAUUUUCCAUAUAAUAUUUUUGACCACAAUUGCCUAUGGAUAACUGAAACCAUGGAAAGUGGAACUGUGGAUAAGGCAGGACUACUGUAACUAUGACAUCAAUGGUAGGAACCUGAAGCAUAAUUCUGCUGUAGUGGAUUUUUUCAAAAGAAACUCAUGAAUGAAAAAUAAUUUAUUAGAUAUAAGAAAGGAUGCAUUUGUAUCUCAAACUUUACUUAUUCUGGAAAUGAAUGAAAAGCCAACACCUAUUACAUACCCACAAAAAUGAAAAAAUAAAUAAAUGUAAAGCCAUAGUUCAGUACUGAUGGAAUCUGAGAAAAUUUAUAUGACAGUGAACCCACACGUCUGUAUUGAAUGUGGGAAAGGCUACACUUGUAUUGCAUCCCUGACCCAGCAUCAGAAAACACAUAUCAGAGAGAAACCUUAUGAAUGUAAAAUAUGUGGUAAAUUGAAGGCCAGAGACAGGAAUUUGCCUAAAUCACAGAGUCUCACAUUGUCAUCCAGUCUGGAGUGCAAUGGCAUGACCUCAGCUCACUGCAGCCUCCGUCUCCUGGGUUCAAGCAAUUCUCCUGCCUCACCCUCUCUAGUAGCUGGGAUUACAGAGCAUCAAAAUAUUAUUUUUGUUUAUGUGGCCCCAGGACAGAUAAAACUUGUACUGGUGCAAAAAUACAUCCCAGUCAUAACCAUUAGUCAUGAUAAUGGACGCAAUGUCGUUGACAUACAUGAAACGGACUAUGAUAAUUAUAUAUUUUUUUAUAACAAGAAUAUCAAGAAUGGGGAAACAUUCCUAAUGUUGGAGCUCUAUGCUCGAACACCGGAUGUGAGCUCACAACUCAAGGAAAGGUUUGUGAAAUAUUGUGAAGAACAUGGGAUUGAUAAGGAAAACAUAUUUGACUUGAACAAAGUUGAUCGCUGUCUCCAGGCCUGAGAUGGGGGAGCAGACUAGGACUCCAGUGCUGAGUGAAAGCUUCCUCACCUGGACUCCAGUAUCUUCCCUUCCUGGUCCCCAUGUCCUCUUAUAACAAGUUCUGUGACUUGAUUUCCAUCAUAUCACACAUGAAGACAUCAUCCCUGCAUCUUUAGGAUCUUCCCUAACUGCCUAAGAAGACUCAGAAAUUCACCAAGAAUCAAAGGUUUUCUUUGAAUUUCUGACUGUCUUUGUCACAGCCAGGGAAACUCUACAUGAAUAACACCUGACUCUACGUGA